Molecule: ribosomal RNA, 253 nt
Filed under: uncultured bacterium
Lineage: Bacteria
Description: partial 16S ribosomal RNA
Rfam family: Bacterial small subunit ribosomal RNA
Source: RNAcentral
GACGAACCGUGCGAACGUUGUUCGGAAUCACUGGGCUUAAAGGGCGCGUAGGCGGGCCAGCAAGUCAGGGGUGAAAUCUUCCAGCUCAACUGGAAAAGGGCCUUUGAUACUGUUGGUCUCGAGGGAGGUAGGGGCAUGCGGAACUUCCGGUGGAGCGGUGAAAUGCGUAGAUAUCGGAAGGAACGCCGGUGGCGAAAGCGGCGUGCUGGACCUCUUCUGACGCUGAGGCGCGAAAGCUAGGGGAGCAAACGGG